RNAcentral lists this ribosomal RNA (468 nucleotides) under uncultured bacterium. Its description in RNAcentral is "partial 16S ribosomal RNA". It matches the Rfam family "Bacterial small subunit ribosomal RNA", at positions 28 to 507 of the family's 1533-position model. The record is from RNAcentral.
GACGAACGCUGGCGGCGUGCUUAACACAUGCAAGUCGAACGGAAAGGCCCUGCUCUUGCGGGGUGCUCGAGUGGUGAACGGGUGAGUAUCACGUGAGUAACCUGCCCUUGACUUUGGGAUAAAUCCAGGAAAAUGGGGCUAAUAUAGGAUAUGAGCUCUUGCUGCACGGUGGGGGUUGGAAAGUUUCGGUGGUUGGGGAUGGACUCGAGGCUUAUCGGCUUGUUUGGGGGGUAGGAGAUUACCAAGUCUUUGACGGAUAGCCGGCCUGGGAGGGUGACCGGCCACAUGAGGACUGAGAUACGGCCCAGACUCCUACGGGAGGCAGCAGUGGAGAACAUUCCACAAUAGGCGGAAGCCUGUUGCGACAACGCCGCGAGCGGAAUGCCGGCCUUCGAGUUGUAAACCGCUUUCGCCGGUGACGAAGCGUUAGUGACGGUAUUGGGUAAAGAAGCACCGGCUAACUACGUG